UACGAAGGGGGCUAGCGUUGUUCGGAAUCACUGGGCGUAAAGCGCACGUAGGCGGACUUUUAAGUCAGAGGUGAAAUCCCAAGGCUCAACCUUGGAACUGCCUUUGACUACUGGGAGUCUUGAGGUCGAGAGAGGUGAGUGGAACUGCGAGUGUAGAGGUGAAAUUCGUAGAUAUUCGCAAGAACACCAGUGGCGAAGGUGGCUCACUGGCUCGAUUCUGACGCUGAGGUGACGAA
RNAcentral lists this ribosomal RNA (236 nucleotides) under uncultured bacterium. RNAcentral describes it as "partial 16S ribosomal RNA". It matches the Rfam family "Bacterial small subunit ribosomal RNA", at positions 524 to 757 of the family's 1533-position model. The record is from RNAcentral.